RNAcentral lists this small RNA (26 nucleotides) under Bombyx mori (domestic silkworm). RNAcentral describes it as "ovarian small RNA-29353". The record is from RNAcentral. Lineage: Eukaryota; Metazoa; Arthropoda; Insecta; Lepidoptera; Bombycidae.
UCGUUGAUUUAUUAUGCGGUAUGGGU